This is a long non-coding RNA of Hydractinia symbiolongicarpus, 312 nucleotides long. RefSeq lists it as uncharacterized. NCBI's taxonomy places the organism in Eukaryota, Metazoa, Cnidaria, Hydrozoa, Anthoathecata, Hydractiniidae. The transcript has 3 exons. The record is from RefSeq and is a predicted model, not a curated record.
CAAAUCACCUUCCUGAAGACAUGGGUUGGCUGCUGAAAGAUGGCAGCUAUAUCAUUAAGUGGUACGAAGGCGAAAUGUCUCCAAAAGCAGUAGAUGUCACCAGCAAUGAAAAUUAUUAUGGAUUCUCCAGAGAAGUAGAAGAUUUUGAAGGGUUUGAUGAACUGUCAAGUGAUGACGAUUCAGACAGUGAUGACGAAACUAGUGACGAAGACGUGUAAUGAUAAUUUAAGAUGCUGAUGCAGAACAAUAUCAAUCAUGCUGCUAUAACCUAUUGUACAUAUUUAUAUUUUAUUAAAUGCUAUCAGAGCAUUU